UCCUCGUGGAAGAAUCGCGGGGCCACCCCGACUCCACUCGCCGAGUCUGAUGAACAACUCGGCGAGUCCCAGCAAAUCUUCAAGCUACUCGCCGAGUCUGAAGAACAACUCGGCGAGUCCAUGCCAUGCAGACGAGUAACUGCUUCCUGGGAUAGGUCUCGUCCCGAAGUACACAUGCAUGGGACCUUCUGGACCUCUAAAGGUCCUAAUACAAGACUAUAAUCGUGGGGUAACAAGGCAUUACUUCAUCAAAUCACUAAAUGGGUUCUAUAAACCCUAAUUUCAUAAAUACAUCAAAAUAACAGAUUUGGUCCGAGUAUUACCUGAAAACGCACUCUCUGUGUCCCCCAAAUCUCAGGACUCAAUCCUCCUUGAUAUUCCUUUAGCCAAAUCCCUCUUCUUCUUGCCUAACCAAUUCUUCCAAGUUCCAAAGCUUUCUCCCUUGCUCUAGGCGUCCACAGCGAUUAGGGUUUCUCUCAAUUGACCAAAAGACUGAAAAUGACGGCCUAAGAGGCGUUAAAUACGAUCCAAACUGAACGGUUAGGGUUUCUGCUGAACAGCGUCGACUCGCCGAGUCCAUAUCUGGACUCGUCGAGUCCAGUCGCGGACCCGCGACCAAGUCUGCGAUCCUACUCGGCGAGUCUAGGCUCCAACUCGCCGAGUCCCCUCUUAAAUCACCCCAAAAACAUAAUUUUAAUAAUACCUGAGAUUCCGGGCUGUUACAACUCUCCCCCACUUGGAUUAGACUUCGCCCUCGAAGUCUCACUCUGCAAAUAGUUCCGGAUGCUGCUCCCGCAUUUCGCGCUCCGGUUCCCAAGUCAUUUCUGAUCCCUUACGGUGUUGCCAUUGAACCAACACCAGAGGUACCUCCUUGUUCCUCAGAACCUUGAUCUUCCGAUCCCUGAUAGCCACUGGUCUCUCCGCGUAAUUCAGGCUCGCAUCCACCUGAAUAUCCUCCAAUGGAACCACUGCCGACUCAUCGGCUAUGCACUUCCUCAACUGCGACACAUGAAAAGUGUCAUGGAUCUGACCCAACUCCGCUGGCAACUCCAACCGAUAGGCUACCCGACCUAUCCUUGCAAUCACACGAAAUGGCCCAAUAUACCGGGGCCCCAACUUGCCCCUCUUCCUGAAUCGAAUCACUCCUUUCCAAGGAGAGACCUUCAGGAGAACGAAGUCGCCGACCUGAAAUUCAAGCUCGGAUCGGCGCCUGUCUGCAUAACUCUUCUGUCGGCUCUGGGCAGUCAAUAACCUUUGUCUCACUCGCUGAAUCUGCUCUGUCGUCUGGAGCACGAUCUCCGUGCUGCCCAUCACUCUCUGUCCCACCUCUCCCCAGCAAAUGGGGGUCCGACACCUCCUACCAUACAACAGCUCGAAAGGUGGCAUACCAAUGCUCGAAUGAUGGCUGUUGUUGUAGGAAAACUCUGCCAAUGGUAAAUACGCAUCCCAACUACCCCCGAAGUCUAACACACACGCUCGGAGCAUGUCCUCCAGCGUCUGAAUUGUCCGCUCGCUCUGACCGUCUGUCUGGGGAUGGUAUGCGGUACUAAAAUGCAAUUUAGUACCCAGCUCCUCAUGGAAUUUCUUCCAGAAUCUGGAAGUAAAGCGCACAUCACGGUCUGACACAAUCGAGAUCGGCACCCCGUGCCGAGAUACCACCUCUCUCACGUAUAUCUCCGCCAAUUUCUCCGCCGAAGAACUCUCACUGAUGGCAAGGAAGUGUGCACUCUUUGUCAACCUAUCCACGAUCACCCAAAUUGCGUCAACUCCCCUAGCAGUCCUCGGCAAUUUGGUGAUAAAAUCCAUAGUGAUCUGUUCCCACUUCCACUCGGGGAUCUCCAAUGGCUGUAACUUGCCAUGCGGUCUCUGGUGCUCAGCCUUAACCCUACGGCAGGUCAAGCACCUCUCAACGAACCAUGCCACGUCCCUCUUCAUACAGGGCCACCAAUAUUCCUUCCUUAAAUCCAAAUACAUCUUUGUAGCACCGGGAUGGAUCGAGAAUUUCGAUCUAUGAGCCUCUUCCAUCAACGUAAUACGCGUACCGCCCACGAACGGUACCCAAAUCCGACCCUGAAACGUCAUAAGGCCUCGACUAUCCUUGACAAACUCUGAGAUUAACCCCACAACCCGCUCUUUCUUCUGCAUUUCUGGUCGCACAGCCUCUGCCUGGGCCCCACGAAUAGCGUCCAAUACUGGAGUCAUCACAGUCAGUCUCAAGCAUACAUCUCGCAAUGGAGUGCUCUCCGCCCUGCGGCUCAAUGCGUCGGCUACCACAUUAGCCUUGCCUGGGUGGUACAGGAUCUCACAAUCAUAAUCCUUGACCACAUCCAACCACCUCCUCUGACGCAUAUUUAGGUUGGGUUGAUCCAUCAAAUACUUCAAACUCUUAUGGUCCGUGUAUAUCGUACAUCGAACCCCAUACAAGUAGUGACGCCAAAUCUUGAGAGCGAACACUACUGCCCCCAACUCUAAAUCAUGCGUGGGAUAUCUCGCCUCAUGAGGCUUCAGCUGCCUCGACGCAUAAGCUAUCACAUGACCCCUCUGCAUCAACACUGCACCCAAUCCCGAAAUCGAUGCGUCGCAAUAUACCACGAAAUCUUCCAUCCCUUCUGGGAGAGCUAAUACCGGGGCUUCGCACAAUCUCUGGCGAAGUGUCUCAAAGGAGGUCUGCUGCUCGGGCCCCCAUGAGAACGUAACACCCUUCCGGGUCAAUCUGGUGAGUGGCACUGCGAUCUUGGAGAAAUCCUUGAUAAAUCUCCGAUAAUACCCUGCCAACCCAAGGAAACUUCUGAUCUCAGAGGGUGACUUCGGCACCUCCCAACUCAUCACCGCCUCAACCUUGGCCGGAUCGACCAAUAUCCCUUUCUGAUUAACCACAUGUCCUAGAAACUGGACCUCCCGCAACCAGAAGUCACAUUUGGAGAACUUUGCAUAAAGCUUCUCCGACCUCAAUACCUCAAGGACCUCCCUCAAAUGCUCCUCAUGCUGCUCUCUCGAUCUCGAAUACACCAGAAUGUCGUCGAUAAAUACGAUCACUGACCGAUCCAACAUCGGCCUGCAUACCCUGUUCAUGAGAUCCAUGAACACAGCCGGGGCAUUGGUGAGUCCAAAAGGCAUCACCACAAACUCAUAAUGUCCAUAUCGCGUCCUAAACGCUGUCUUCUGGACGUCUUCAUCCCGUACUCUCACCUGAUGGUAACCUGACCUCAGAUCGAUCUUGGAAAACCAAGAUGCUCCCUGCAACUGAUCGAAUAAAUCAUCGAUCCUCGGCAACGGGUAACGGUUCUUGACCGUUAGCUUGUUCAACUCCCGGUAAUCAAUGCACAUCCGGUGUGAACCAUCCUUCUUUUUGACGAACAGAAUAGGUGCUCCCCAUGGCGAGCUGCUCGGCCGAAUGAAUCCCUUCCCCAGCAACUCCUGGAGUUGCGAGGACAACUCUUGCAUCUCUGGAGGUGCAAGACGAUAGGGCACUUUAGCAAUAGGUGCUGCCCCCGGAACCAGAUCAAUACUAAACUCUACUUGCCUCACAGGCGGUACUCCCGGCAACUCCUCGGGAAAGACAUCUGAAAAUUCGCGCACCACCGGAACUUCCUCAACUGACUUCGGUUUCUCGGAAACCUCCCGCGUAUCCAUCACAUACGCCACAAAACCCUUACAGCCCUGCUGUAGACACUGCCUCGCCCUAGCGGCCGAACAAAAAGCUGAUCCCGAACGGGUACCCUCGCCGUACACCGAAAGAACUCCCCCUCUAGGGUCUCGUAUAGUCACCAACUGACGCUCACAGUCGAUGACAGCGCCGAACCGGCUCAGCCAGUCCAUGCCCACGAUGACACAGACAUCCCCCAUCGCGAUAGGAAUCAGAUCAAUUGGGAAUCCAAUCCCGAAAAUCUCUAGUACACAUCCCCGAAGAACCUCCGUAGCACAAAUCACCUUCUCGUCAGCUAUAGAAACUCUCAAAGGUCGACUCAACGACUCACGACUAACGCCGAUAUGCUGACUAAAGGCUAAGGACACAAAGGACCUACUCGCACCCGAGUCAAAUAACACUAAGGCAGGCACAGAGUUCACAAGGAAAGUACCUACGCGCAUAAUAACAUAAGCAUAACAUAUCGACAUUAAAAUAAAUACAUGAAUUACAACAUACCUGCCACAACAUCGGGCGCAGCGCGGACCUCCUCCGCAGUCAGCUGAAAGGCUCUCCCACGAGCCCUCGGGGCCUCGACCUUCACCGGUCGAGUCUCAGUAGUCCUGGCAACAGGUGCAGAUCCCUGACGAAGCUGAGGGCACUCGGCCUUCCGAUGGCCGGUCUGGUUGCAAUGAAAGCAAACCAUAAAUCCCUUGGGACACUCCCUAGCAAUGUGUCCCUCCUUGCCACACUUGUAGCAAGCACCGGCUCGACACGCCCCAUCGUGACCCUUACCGCACUUUACGCAAGUGCGGUUCUUCGAACCUCCCGUCCUCGAAUCGGCGGACUUGAUCCGCUUGGCUGCCGGCUGAGACUGAGCCGGCCGCCGGUCUGCCUGCUGAGACUCGGCCUCCUCCCUGGCCUGAGUCUCUAACUCGAUCUCACGCUUCCUGGCAUUCGCCUGAAGCUCAGUAAAAGUAUGGUAAGUGGAGUUUGACACAAACUCCCGGAUCUCCCUCCUCAGAACACCCAAGUACCGGCUCAUCCGAGCCUGCUCUGUGGCCACCAGCUCGGGGCAAAACAUCGCCCUCUCAUGGAACUUCCGCGUGAUCGCCGCCACCGAAUCAGUACCCUGCUUGAGGGUUAAGAACUCCUGAACCAAUCGUUCCCGCUCCACCGGGGGAACGUACUCCUCCCUGAACAUGGUAGUGAACCCCUCCCAUGUCACUGCCGCAGUCUCUGCCAAAGUGAAGUUCGCCGUCACGAACUUCCACCAGUCCUUUGCUCCCAGACGGAGCUGGUUCAAAGCGAACCGUACCCUCAGGUGCUCCGGGCAUGAACAAGUGUAGAAGCACCCCUCUAUAUCUGCGAUCCACCUCAUCGCAGCAAUCGGAUCCUGCGUCCCAUCGAACUCUGGUGGCUUCGUGUUGCUGAACUCUCGGAACAGCAAUGAAUCACCCCCCUGUGGCCUAGCAGCGGCCACAGCUGCGGUAGCUGCAGCGGUUGCAGCCUCAGUCAAUGCGGCGUACCGCUCGUCGAACGUCUCCAUCAGGGUGGUCUUGAUAGACCCAAACAUCUCCGGGAUCUCAGCCCGGAUCGCCGCCGCCACCUCCUCGUGGAUCAUCUGACGAAUAUCCUCGUCACUCACACCGCUCGUACUUGCCCCGUGCCGCGGUCUAACCAUGAUAUCUCUGAAAUACAACAUAAAACUAUCAGAGAUUCUACCGAGUAUAAUCGUACUCGACACGCAACCCUACUCAGUCCCAGAUAUCCAGGGAUUCUUACUUGGGCCUCCCACUGACCCGGUGUCCUCGGUAGUACGGGCCCAAUACUACCGACCACACCGCAUCAAUGUUCAUCCCAAGUCCUCCUCCCCAAACUCCAGAUAGUGAGUACUCUACUUCUGAUACGCUCUAUCUACCCGCAUACUAGCAAAGCAUCUCAUAUAGGCAACUUCCCUAGACUAAGGCAUCACAAAUCAGGCCACUCUAGUCCUAUCAUGAAUACCUAGUCUUCUAGCAUGCAUAACAAUUCAUAUCAUAUAAUAUUGUAAGGUAUUUUGGGGAUCUUUACCGUUCGGGCGCUGACUGAUCGUACACACUGCUUCUUUCUUGCUUACCACAAAACCAUUUACAAAAGUUUAUGCCUUUAUUUGAAAAGUUUCCUCAAAUCCUCGGUUUGAGUUCAGUUACCCCCGAAGGUGCACCCGAAUCCCUCAAACCAAGGCUCUGAUACCAAUUGUAACAACUCAAAUUUUUCAAACAAAUUUUUCAUUUUUAAAACAUAAUUAUUUCCAUUAAAAACAAGGCAUAAACAGUUUAAUUAUUCGGUCAAUACAAUUAUUCAAACUCCCAAGAUCUUAAAACAAUCUUCAGUGUGUAUCGAUCAUGCCGGCGCCUUCCCACGGUCCUCGCUAGUACCUGAAAUACAUGCACAACAACUGUAAGCAUAAAUGCUUAGUGAGUUCCCCAAUAUACAACUUACGCACAUACGCCUUUCCAGGCCCGACCUUCCGGUCCAUGUGUCUCAGGGGACUUCCGUCCCUGCUGGGUAAACCUUCCGGCCUUACCCACGCCGACCUUCCGGUCCAUCACACAUCAUAUCGCCUUCCGGCCCAUAACAUAUUCGCCUUCCGGCCCAUAACAUACAUAGCACAUAUAACAUAUAACAUACCACAUAUAGCAUACAUAACACAUAUCAUAUCCGACCUUCCGGUCACACAGUCAAACCCUUCCGGGUACAGUAUAGUGAGAAGACUCACCUCGUAAGUGCUGAAAGCUAGCAACUCCUGAAAUCACUCGCGCACAAACCAACGAGCUACAACCCUCCUAUAACAUUACAUAACUCAUUAACACUCAUAUCAUCUAAGUGUGACUAUCCCUAAGAAGUCAGACUUAGGUCAACUCUGGUCAACGGUCAACGGUCAACUCGACUGGACUCGGCGAGUACCAUGGCGACUCGGCGAGUCUAGUCGUCCUCACAAAUUCCUGAAUAUUCCCUUUCUACUCGUCGAGUAUCCCUCUUGACUCGACGAGGUCCUCGUGGAAGAAUCGCGGGGCCACCCCGACUCCACUCGCCGAGUCUGAUGAACAACUCGGCGAGUCCCAGCAAAUCUUCAAGCUACUCGCCGAGUCUGAAGAACAACUCGGCGAGUCCAUGCCAUGCAGACGAGUAACUGCUUCCUGAGAUAGGUCUCGUCCCAAAGUACACAUGCAUGGGACCUUCUGGACCUCUAAAGGUCCUAAUACAAGACUAUAAUCGUGGGAUAACAAGGCAUUACUUCAUCAAAUCACUAAAUGGGUUCUAUAAACCCUAAUUUCAUAAAUACAUCAAAAUAACAGAUUUGAUCCGAGUAUUACCUGGAAACGCACUCUCUGUGUCCCCCAAAUCUCAGGACUCAAUCCUCCUUGAUAUUCCUUUAGCCAAAUCCCUCUUCUUCUUGCCUAACCAAUUCUUCCAAGUUCCAAAGCUUUCUCCCUUGCUCUAGGCGUCCACAGCGAUUAGGGUUCCUCUCAAUUG
This 7144-nucleotide long non-coding RNA is filed under the name Lactuca sativa (garden lettuce). Its description in RNAcentral is "long non-coding RNA (LSAT_LNC004687)". Lineage: Eukaryota; Viridiplantae; Streptophyta; Magnoliopsida; Asterales; Asteraceae. The record is from RNAcentral.